AUUGAACGCUGGCGGCAGGCCUAACACAUGCAAGUCGAGCGGACGAUGGGAGCUUGCUCCUGGUUCCAGCGGCGGACGGGUGCGUAAUCCCUAGGAAACUGCCUGGUAGUGGGGGAUAACGUCCGGACACGGGCGCUACUACCGCAUACGACCAGAGUGAGAUAGUGUGGGAUAUUCGGACAUCACGCUAUCAGAUGAGCCUAAGUCGGAUUAGCUAGUUGGUGGGGUAAAGGCCUACCAAGGCGACGAUCCGUAACUGGUCGGAGAGGCUGAUCAGUCACCCUGGAAGUGGGACACGGUCCGGACUCCUGCGGGAGGCGGCAGUGGGGAAUUUUGGACCGUGGGCGAAGGCCUGAUCCAGCCAUGCCCCGUAUGGGAAGAAGGUCUUCGGAUGGUAAAGCACUUUAAGUUGGGAGGAAGGGCAGUAAGUUAGUACCUUGCUGUUUUGACGUUACCAUCACAAUAAGCACCGGCUAACUUCGUG
RNAcentral lists this ribosomal RNA (484 nucleotides) under uncultured bacterium. Its description in RNAcentral is "partial 16S ribosomal RNA". It matches the Rfam family "Bacterial small subunit ribosomal RNA", at positions 30 to 507 of the family's 1533-position model. The record is from RNAcentral.